Molecule: ribosomal RNA, 468 nt
Filed under: uncultured bacterium
Lineage: Bacteria
Description: partial 16S ribosomal RNA
Rfam family: Bacterial small subunit ribosomal RNA
Source: RNAcentral
GACGAACGCUGGCGGCGUGCUUAACACAUGCAAGUCGAACGGAAAGGCCCUGCUUUUGUGGGGUGCUCGAGUGGCGAACGGGUGAGUAACACGUGAGUAACCUGCCUUUGACUUUGGGAUAACUUCAGGAAACUGGGGCUAAUACCGGAUAGGAGCUCCUGCUGCAUGGUGGGUGUUGGAACGUUUCGGUGGUUGGGGAUGGAUUCGCGGCUUAUCAGCUUGUUGGUGGGGUAGGGGCUAACCAAGCCUUUGACGGGUAGCCGGCCUGAGAGGGUGACCGGCCACAUGGGGACUGAGAUACGGCCCAGACUCCAACGGGAGGCAGCGGUGGAGAAUAUUACACAAUGGGCGGAAGCCUGAUGCGGCAACGCCGCGUGCGGGAAGACGGCCUUCGGGUUGUAAACCGCUGUCGCCUGUGACGAAGCGUGAGUGACGGUAAUGGGAAAAGAAGCACCGGCUAACUACGUG